RNAcentral lists this ribosomal RNA (253 nucleotides) under uncultured bacterium. RNAcentral's name for it is "partial 16S ribosomal RNA". It matches the Rfam family "Bacterial small subunit ribosomal RNA", at positions 524 to 776 of the family's 1533-position model. The record is from RNAcentral.
UACGGAGGGUGCGAGCGUUGUCCGGAAUCACUGGGCGUAAAGGGCGCGUAGGCGGCCUGAUAAGUAGGGGGUGAAAUCCUGCGGCUUAACCGCAGGGCUGCCUUCUAAACUGUCAGGCUUGAGCACAGUAGAGGCAGGUGGAAUUCCUGGUGUAGCGGUGAAAUGCGCAGAUAUCAGGAGGAACACCAGCGGCGAAGGCGGCGCUCUGGGCCGGUACUGACACUGAGGAGCGAAAGCGUGGGUAGCAAACAGG